GUGGGGAAUCUUGCGCAAUGGGCGAAAGCCUGACGCAGCCAUGCCGCGUGAAUGAUGAAGGUCUUAGGAUUGUAAAAUUCUUUCACCGGGGACGAUAAUGACGGUACCCGGAGAAGAAGCCCCGGCUAACUUCGUGCCAGCAGCCGCGGUAAUACGAAGGGGGCUAGCGUUGCUCAGAAUUACUGGGCGUAAAGGGCGCGUAGGCGGACAGUUUAGUCAGAGGUGAAAGCCCAGGGCUCAACCUUGGAAUUGCCUUUGAUACUGGCUGUCUUGAGUACGGGAGAGGUGAGUGGAACUCCGAGUGUAGAGGUGAAAUUCGUAGAUAUUCGGAAGAACACCAGUGGCGAAGGCGACUCACUGGCCCGUUACUGACGCUGAGGCGCGAAAGCGUGGGGAGCAAACAGGAUUAGAUACCCGUGUAGUCC
RNAcentral lists this ribosomal RNA (425 nucleotides) under uncultured bacterium. RNAcentral describes it as "partial 16S ribosomal RNA". It matches the Rfam family "Bacterial small subunit ribosomal RNA", at positions 354 to 796 of the family's 1533-position model. The record is from RNAcentral.